GGCGCCAUCGUCAAGCGGUUAAGACACCGCCCUUUCACGGCGGGUUCAUGGGUUCGAAUCCCAUUGGCGUCA
Mitsuokella sp. oral taxon 131 is the source of this 72-nucleotide transfer RNA. It matches the Rfam family "tRNA". From Rfam's summary of the family: Transfer RNA (tRNA) molecules are approximately 80 nucleotides in length. Their secondary structure includes four short double-helical elements and three loops (D, anti-codon, and T loops). The record is from Rfam. Lineage: Bacteria; Bacillati; Bacillota; Negativicutes; Selenomonadales; Selenomonadaceae.